Zonotrichia albicollis (white-throated sparrow) is the source of this 439-nucleotide non-coding RNA. The record is from RefSeq and is a predicted model, not a curated record. NCBI's taxonomy places the organism in Eukaryota, Metazoa, Chordata, Aves, Passeriformes, Passerellidae.
UCCCGCCACCUCCCCGCUUUCUCAGCGGCGCGGCCCGCGAGCAGAAAAUUUCGGGAUUUGUGUGAAUUUCCCUUCCCCGAGGCACAAUGAGUUUGGUGUUUCUGUCGCUUUUCGGGAGGAAAUUUCAGGGACAAUGCCUGGACUGCUGAGGGAGAUCAGACUGUCAGGAGAAACUGGGCACUCUGCAGUCAGCCCUUCUCUCAUUUCCAGGAGAUUUUUGGAAUAAGAGCCAAAGUGUGACCAUCCUAUCUUCACCUCCAGCCCAAUCAUUCUCUCUUGGCAUCAAGAACACAUCUCCCAAUGUGCACAGGCAACAGGAGGUGCAGUGCAGGCAUGGGCAGUGAGCUACAGCCCUUGCCUUGGCCUUGGUUGUCAUCCCAUGCCUCUGUGCUGUUUGCAAGGACUUCUUUUACGAGAUCAAAUUUCAAUGUUUGAUGUA